AGGGCGAUCUGAGUGAACAUGCGUGAGUGAUGUGCAUUGUAUGGUAUCGCACAGAUCACCCCCU
Molecule: microRNA precursor, 64 nt
Filed under: Danio rerio (zebrafish)
Lineage: Eukaryota; Metazoa; Chordata; Actinopteri; Cypriniformes; Danionidae
Description: Dre-Novel-7_pre stem-loop
Source: RNAcentral